UAACGUCUCAGUUCGGAUUGUAGUCUGCAACUCGACUACAUGAAGCUGGAAUCGCUAGUAAUCGCAGAUCAGAAUGCUGCGGUGAAUACGUUCCCGGGUCUUGUACACACCGCCCGUCACACCAUGGGAGUCGGAAAUGCCCGAAGCCGGUGACCCAACCAAAAGGAGGGAGCCGUCGAAGGCAGGUCUGAUAACUGGGGUGAAGUCGUAACAAGGUAGC
RNAcentral lists this ribosomal RNA (220 nucleotides) under uncultured bacterium. RNAcentral describes it as "partial 16S ribosomal RNA". It matches the Rfam family "Bacterial small subunit ribosomal RNA", at positions 1281 to 1500 of the family's 1533-position model. The record is from RNAcentral.